GACGUAGGGGGCGAGCGUUGUCCGGAAUUACUGGGCGUAAAGAGCACGUAGGCGGGACUUUAAGUCAGGUGUGAAAGACCGGGGCUCAACUCCGGGGUUGCACUUGAAACUGGAGUUCUUGAGGGCAGGAGAGGAAAGCAGAAUUCCUGGUGUAGCGGUGAAAUGCGUAGAAAUCAGGAGGAAUACCAGUGGCGAAGGCGGCUUUCUGGACUGACCCUGACGCUGAGGUGCGAAAGCGUGGGUAGCAAAC
This 250-nucleotide ribosomal RNA is filed under the name uncultured bacterium. Its description in RNAcentral is "partial 16S ribosomal RNA". It matches the Rfam family "Bacterial small subunit ribosomal RNA", at positions 524 to 773 of the family's 1533-position model. The record is from RNAcentral.